CCUUACCAAGGCUUGACAUAUACCGGAAAAGGCUGGAAACAGUCUCCCCGCAAGGUCGGUAUACAGGUGGUGCAUGGUUGUCGUCAGCUCGUGUCGUGAGAUGUUGGGUUAAGUCCCGCAACGAGCGCAACCCUCGUUCUAUGUUGCCAGCACGUCAUGGUGGGAACUCAUAGGAGACUGCCGGGGUCAACUCGGAGGAAGGUGGGGAUGACGUCAAAUCAUCAUGCCCCUUAUGUCUUGGGCUUCACGCAUGCUACAAUGGCCGGUACAAAGGGCUGCAAUACCGCGAGGUGGAGCGAAUCCCAAAAAGCCGGUCUCAGUUCGGAUUGGGGUCUGCAACUCGACCCCAUGAAGUCGGAGUCGCUAGUAAUCGCAGAUCAGCAACGCUGCGGUGAAUACGUUCCCGG
RNAcentral lists this ribosomal RNA (407 nucleotides) under uncultured bacterium. Its description in RNAcentral is "bacterial SSU rRNA". It matches the Rfam family "Bacterial small subunit ribosomal RNA", at positions 969 to 1377 of the family's 1533-position model. The record is from RNAcentral.